CAAUUUCUAACCCAACCCAAAAACCCACCCAAUAAAGGCACAUGAGCCCACACUAAACUUGAAAUUUUAGGGUUGAACCCCAGUAAUCUGAGUAACCAAAAUAAUUUAUUUUAAAAUUUAAAAAUUCAAAAUUUUGAGAAAAUUUUGAAAAAGAAAACAAAAUAAUAUAAAAAAAAUUCAGACCCAAAACAAUUAUAGAAAUGAUAUUCCUUAAAACUGACCUUUAGGUAACCUAAGCCCACCAAAAACCUGAGCAACCAGAACCUGCAUGCAAAGCAGCACCAAAUUUUCCCCCCAAGCCCUCCCACCCUGAUAACCUUUCCACCUUCACUUCUUAGUUUACUGAUUUCUAAAUUCCUGAUUUGCCAGUGCUUUUUAGUUAGGCAACAACUAACACUAUGUAAAAUGAUUCAAUAAAUUACAAGCAUAUAUGUAACUCAUCAUGAAAUAAAUGUAUAUAUCCUUUUGAAUAUUUGUGACUCACCAAAUCCUUGAAUCCCAACUACUUGAGGUUCACUAAGUCUAAAUUUUUGCCCUAGUCACAUCACCCAGAGAAAAUUCUUUGUGCUCUUACGUCUUCUCUGACCAUCAUGGUAAAUGCUCUCUUGUAACAUUCUAAAGCCAUGCUGAUCAAUUCAAAUUCUAAGCCUUGGAGUUUCUAUAUCAAAAUCCAGGCCUUUAAUUGAUCAAUAGUUUCAGUUCUGCUUAUCCAAGGCUUUCCAAAACGCCUACUUUAAUGCUUCUGUUGCACUUUCUAGUUAUAUAUAACAUCAUGUUCAUCUGUUUGCAUCAGCUAUAUCCUGUCUUUUGCCUGUGCAUUUGGUGUAUGUCAUUUUAUGUUUAGUCCAUAAUUCGGCCUGAUCUGUUGAUUUAUGGUUUUCAGUCCUCUUGUGUGAGGCGG
Molecule: unclassified non-coding RNA, 901 nt
Filed under: Hevea brasiliensis (rubber tree)
Lineage: Eukaryota; Viridiplantae; Streptophyta; Magnoliopsida; Malpighiales; Euphorbiaceae
Source: RNAcentral